AGCAGUCGCCGCGGUAAUACAGAGGGUGCAAGCGUUAAUCGGAAUUACUGGGCGUAAAGCGUGCGCAGGCGGUUGUGUAAGACAGGUGUGAAAUCCCUGAGCUUAACUUAGGAAUUGCAUUCGAUACUGGGAAGCUAGAGUAUGGGAGAGGAUGGUAGAAUUCCAGGUGUAGCGGUGAAAUGCGUAGAGAUCUGGAGGAAUACCGAUGGCGAAGGCAGCCAUCUGGCCUAAUACUGACGCUGAGGUACGAAAGCAUGGGGAGCAAACAGGAUUAGAUACCCCAGUAGUCCCUGUCUCUUAUAC
This 303-nucleotide ribosomal RNA is filed under the name uncultured bacterium. RNAcentral describes it as "partial 16S ribosomal RNA". It matches the Rfam family "Bacterial small subunit ribosomal RNA", at positions 507 to 807 of the family's 1533-position model. The record is from RNAcentral.